CCCUUACAAAAAUGGGUUUGACCUUUCAGUCACCCGCGAGUCACCAACCAGUCACCCCAGUCACCUCCCUGUGGACUCGUCCUUCCUGUAUACCUAGUCUGCAGAUUUUCUGCAGACUCCGUGUAGACAGCCUGCGGACUUGUCUGUGUAAUGUGCGUGCACGCCCAGUGCGCGCGCGUGUGUGUAUACGUAUACGAAUAUAUAUAUUCUGAACCAUGAAAGGUUUUAUCAUUAAAAAAACGGUUAGUUUUGCCAUUCUUACAUUACGAAAACUUUGCCACUGAUUGCUAUAAGCACAGUCUGACAAUGGCAGUAACCUAAGGCAAUUAAUUAAUAUUAAUUGAAAUGAGGUAAUGGCUACAUAACCUGCAUUAAAUACAGCAGUGGAACUAUGGGUCGAUUCACAGCAUGGAUGUGCGCAUACAUAUAUACAGGGUGCCACACAACGCCAUGCGAUCACCGUAAACAUGGUCGCUUCUGUUGCCGGCCAACAGAUGGCGCCACCGGGAGCGCGGGAGUGCCGGCAAAAUAUACAGGUGCUACUAUUUUCCCGUCUUCAGCUGUCGGCAUGUCGGUACAUGUGCGUGCGCGCUGCAUUCACGCCGGCCGAUGUGUAGUUUAUUGGUGUGUACGCCGUGCCGACAGAAAGUGUGGUGCUUUUUCUGUGUAUUAAUGAUCCAAAACGCCUGGGACCGCGUAAUGUAGCGUGCAGUAUCUUUCGUGUGCUACGCCGAUGAUUAUCGUAGUUAGGCCCGUUCGCACUUUCUUUGUUCCUGGCUCGUAAAAAGCCUCAGGUACUCUCGCCGCGCUCGCACCGGAUCACAGCGCACGGAAGAACUUGUUGAAAGUGGUGCUAUCACGUGCUAUUAGUUCAUCUACAAUUGUACAGUGCUUACGCUGGAUGGGCCGUGCACCGACGGUUCUUGCCGCGGUACCUGUACGAUGCCGCGGAACCUGUGACACGAAGGAGUGGUUGCCGAGUACGCCUAACAGGAAAGUCACGAUUUUGGUGAGCCAGAGGCAUCUCUACACCCCAUACGAACCUCCGGCACUUCUGCAACCUGACAACACGGCAAAGUGUCUGAUCUGCAUGCUGCGACAAGAAUAUACAUGCAGCAAGUUCAAGUGCGCAGACCUCAAAUUGAAGAGGGCAUAGGCUCCAUGCUGCAGAAAAUGGGGUCCAAGAGCGACUCCUCUUCCAAGGAAUCAAGUGGCGAGUAGAUAUUCUGACUCACUACUUCAUCGUUCGUUGUGCUGGGGCAUGCACUGUGACACACAAAGGUAGUGGAGACAAAAACACAUGACAAGUGAAGCGCAAACUGUCAACUGAGUUUGGUGAACAAGAAGGAAGAACCUAUACCCGAAGCCACUAUCAUCAGCUGGCUGCGGGUUAUAUGUGCUAAAAAGGUGGAGAUAAGAUAAUCAGAAUGAAUCAGAACUUACAAGGCGACCCACUUGAAUCAUAUCGAGCCGAUAAUAUGUUGGAAAUUGAGUGACUAUAAGUCAGAGCCACAGACGGCUCGCUCACGCAGGCUUCAGCACCAGCCACAACUGUGCAAAAU
Molecule: long non-coding RNA, 1562 nt
Organism: Dermacentor silvarum
Lineage: Eukaryota; Metazoa; Arthropoda; Arachnida; Ixodida; Ixodidae
Exons: 3
Source: RefSeq, a predicted model, not a curated record